This 460-nucleotide ribosomal RNA is filed under the name uncultured bacterium. RNAcentral's name for it is "partial 16S ribosomal RNA". It matches the Rfam family "Bacterial small subunit ribosomal RNA", at positions 338 to 795 of the family's 1533-position model. The record is from RNAcentral.
CCUACGGGCGGCAGCAGUGAGGAAUAUUGGUCAAUGGACGAGAGUCUGAACCAGCCAAGUAGCGUGAAGGAUGACUGCCCUAUGGGUUGUAAACUUCUUUUAUAUGGGAAUAAAAUGUUCCACGUGUGGGAUUUUGUAUGUACCAUAUGAAUAAGGAUCGGCUAACUCCGUGCCAGCAGCCGCGGUAAUACGGAGGGUCCGAGCGUUAUCCGGAUUUAUUGGGUUUAAAGGGAGCGUAGGUGGAUUGUUAAGUCAGUUGUGAAAGUUUGCGUCUCAACCGUAAAAUUGCAGUUGAAACUGGCAGUCUUGAGUACAGUAGAGGUGGGCGGAAUUCGUGGUGUAGCGGUGAAAUGCUUAGAUAUCACGAAGAACUCCGAUUGCGAAGGCAGUUCACUGGACUGCAACUGACACUGAGGCUCGAAAGUGUGGGUAUCAAACAGGAUUAGAUACCCUAGUAGUC